AUUGAACGCUGGCGGCAGGCCUAACACAUGCAAGUCGAGCGGGCGGAGGAGGGGUGAGUAAUGUAUGGGGAUGUGCCUAAUGGAGGGGGAUCACUACUGGAAACGGUAGCAAAUACCGCAAACCAGCAGAUGGAGCCAUAUGGGAUUAUCUAGUCGGUAAGGUAACGGCUUACCUAGGAGACGAUCCCUAGCUGGUCUGAGAGGAUGAUCAGCCACACUGGGACUGAGACACGGCCCAGACUCCUACGGGAGGCAGCAGUAGGGAAUAUUGCACAAUGGGCGAAAGCCUGAUGCAGCCAUGCCGCGUGUAUGAAGAAGGCCUUCGGAUUGUAAAGUACUUUCAGUAGGGAGGCGUUACCGACAGAAGAAGCACCGGCUAACUCCGUGCCAGCAGCCGCGGUAAUAC
RNAcentral lists this ribosomal RNA (406 nucleotides) under uncultured bacterium. Its description in RNAcentral is "partial 16S ribosomal RNA". It matches the Rfam family "Bacterial small subunit ribosomal RNA", at positions 30 to 526 of the family's 1533-position model. The record is from RNAcentral.